This 583-nucleotide ribosomal RNA is filed under the name uncultured bacterium. RNAcentral describes it as "partial 16S ribosomal RNA". It matches the Rfam family "Bacterial small subunit ribosomal RNA", at positions 355 to 1375 of the family's 1533-position model. The record is from RNAcentral.
UGGGGAAUUUUGGACAAUGGGCGAAAGCCUGAUCCAGCAAUGCCGCGUGUGUGAAGAAGGCCUUCGGGUUGUAAAGCACUUUUGUCCGGAAAGAAAUCCUUGGCUCUAAUACAGUCGGGGAUGACGGUACCGGAAGAAUAAGCACCGGCUAACUACGUGCCAGCAGCCGCGGUAAUACGUAGGGUGCAAGCGUUAAUCGGAAUUACUGGGCGUAAAGCGUGCGCAGGCGGUUUGCUAAGACCGAUGUGAAAUCCCCGGGCUCAACCUGGGAACUGCAUUGGUGACUGGCAGGCUAGAGUAUGGCAGAGGGGGGUAGAAUUCCACGUGUAGCAGUGAAAUGCGUAGAGAUGUGAGGAAUACCGAUGGCGAAGGCAGCCCCCUGGGCCAAUACUGACGCUCAUGCACGAAAGCGUGGGGAGCAAACAGGAUUAGAUACCCUGGUAGUCCACGCCCUAAACGAUGUCAACUAGUUGUUGGGGAUUCAUUUCCUUAGUAACGUAGCUAACGCGUGAAGUUGACCGCCUGGGGAGUACGGUCGCAAGGUUAAAACUCAAAUGAAUUGACGGGGUCAUAGCUGUUUCCU